Mya arenaria is the source of this 73-nucleotide non-coding RNA. The record is from the annotation of a RefSeq genome assembly. NCBI's taxonomy places the organism in Eukaryota, Metazoa, Mollusca, Bivalvia, Myida, Myidae.
GGUUGGGUAGCUCAGUCGGAAGAGCACUCGCCCUGAAAGCGGGGGGUCCCAGGUUCGAGCCCUGGUCUGGCUU